This 402-nucleotide ribosomal RNA is filed under the name uncultured organism. RNAcentral describes it as "bacterial SSU rRNA". It matches the Rfam family "Bacterial small subunit ribosomal RNA", at positions 45 to 433 of the family's 1533-position model. The record is from RNAcentral.
CGCCUAACACAUGCAAGUCGUGCGAGAACGUCCCCUUCGGGGGGCAAGUAAAGCGGCGCACGGGUGAGUAACACGUGGAUAAUCUACCUUUAAGUCCGGGAUAACCCGCCGAAAGGCGGGCUAAUACCGGAUAAGACCACGGGACACAUGUUCCGCGGUUAAAGGCGGGGACCUUCGGGCCUGCCGCUUUAAGAUGAGUCCGCGUCCCUUCAGCUUGUUGGUGAGGUAACGGCUUACCAAGGCUAAGACGGGUAGCUGGUCUGAGAGGACGAUCAGCCACACUGGCACUGGAACACGGGCCAGACUCCUACGGGAGGCAGCAGUGGGGAAUUUUGCGCAAUGGGCGAAAGCCUGACGCAGCGACGCCGCGUGAGGGAAGAAGGUUCUCGGAUCGUAAACCUC